GACGAACCGUGCGAACGUUGUUCGGAAUCACUGGGCUUAAAGGGCGCGUAGGCGGGUUCGCAAGUCUGUGGUGAAAGCCUCCAGCUUAACUGGAGAAGUGCCAUGGAUACUGCGCAUCUUGAGGAGGGUAGGGGCGUCUGGAACGGUCGGUGGAGCGGUGAAAUGCGUUGAUAUCGACCGGAACUCCGGUGGCGAAGGCGAGGCGCUGGACCCUUUCUGACGCUGAGGCGCGAAAGCCAGGGGAGCGAACGGG
RNAcentral lists this ribosomal RNA (253 nucleotides) under uncultured bacterium. RNAcentral's name for it is "partial 16S ribosomal RNA". It matches the Rfam family "Bacterial small subunit ribosomal RNA", at positions 524 to 776 of the family's 1533-position model. The record is from RNAcentral.